Molecule: ribosomal RNA, 1501 nt
Filed under: uncultured bacterium
Lineage: Bacteria
Description: bacterial SSU rRNA
Rfam family: Bacterial small subunit ribosomal RNA
Source: RNAcentral
AGGGUUUGAUCAUGGCUCAGAUUGAACGCUGGCGGUAUGCUUAACACAUGCAAGUCGAACGAUAACAGUGAACUUCGGUUCAGCUGAUAAGUGGCGGACGGGUGAGUAAUACAUGGGAAUCUAUCCUUAAGCGGGGGACAACCUGGGGAAACUCAGGCUAAUACCGCAUGUGGCCUACGGGUUAAAGCAGGGGACUAUUUAUAGCCUUGCACUUAGGGGUGAGCCCAUGUCAGAUUAGCUAGUUGGUGGGGUAAAGGCCUACCAAGGCGACGAUCUGUAGUUGGUCUGAGAGGAUGAACAGCCACACUGGGACUGAGACACGGCCCAGACUCCUACGGGAGGCAGCAGUGGGGAAUAUUGGACAAUGGGCGCAAGCCUGAUCCAGCAAUACCGCGUGUGUGAAGAAGGCCUUUGGGUUGUAAAGCACUUUCAGUUGGGAAGAAGUUGUGUAUGUUAAUACCAUGUACAAUUGACGUAACCAACAGAAGAAGCACCGGCUAACUCUGUGCCAGCAGCCGCGGUAAUACAGAGGGUGCGAGCGUUAAUCGGAAUCACUGGGCGUAAAGAGUAUGUAGGUGGAAUGGUAAGUUAGGUGUGAAAUCCCUGAGCUCAACUCAGGAAUUGCGCUUAAAACUGCCAGUUCUAGAGUACUGUAGGGGGGAGCAGAAUUUCUGGUGUAGCGGUGAAAUGCGUAGAUAUCAGAAGGAAUACCAGUGGCGAAGGCGGCUCUCUGGACAGAUACUGACACUGAGAUACGAAGGCGUGGGUAGCAAACAGGAUUAGAUACCCUGGUAGUCCACGCAGUAAACGAUGAAAACUAGCUGUUGGGAUUUAUCUUAGUAGCGAAGCUAACGCGAUAAGUUUUCCGCCUGGGGAGUACGGCCGCAAGGUUAAAACUCAAAGGAAUUGACGGGGACCCGCACAAGCGGUGGAGCAUGUGGUUUAAUUCGAUGCAACGCGAAAAACCUUACCUACCCUUAACAUUUCCGGAAUUUAAUAGAGAUAUUGAAGUGCCUUCGGGAGCCGGAGGAUAGGUGCUGCAUGGCUGUCGUCAGCUCGUGUCGUGAGAUGUUGGGUUAAGUCCCGCAACGAGCGCAACCCUUGUCCUUAGUUGCUAACAGGUAAUGCUGAGAACUUUAAGGAGACUGCCGUUGAUAAAACGGAGGAAGGUAAGGAUGAUGUCAAGUCAUCAUGGCCCUUAUGGGUAGGGCUACACACGUGCUACAAUGGGCGGUACAAAGGGCAGCGAAGCCGCGAGGUGGAGCAAAUCUCAUAAAGCCGCUCUCAGUCCGGAUUGGAGUCUGCAACUCGACUCCAUGAAGUUGGAAUCGCUAGUAAUCGUAGAUCAGCAUGCUACGGUGAAUACGUUCUCGGGUCUUGUACACACCGCCCGUCACAUCAUGGGAGUAAAUUGCACCAGAAGUGGGUAGUCUAACCUUCGGGAGGGCGCUCACCACGGUGUGGUCCAUGACUGGGGUGAAGUCAUAACAAGGUAGCCGUA